AUUAUAACCUUAGAAUACAUAAAGGAACUAUAGGAGAUACAUCUAUGGUAAAACGUCAAUUUGCAAAUAUUAACCAUAGAAAAUUUUGGAAACAUGUCGAUAAAUUUCAGCAAAGAUAUCAUCAAUUGUAUAAAGAAUAUAUGUCGAAGAUUGUUUUUAAAUAGAAACUAAUAUAUUCUAUAAUAAAUGAAAGUUAUAGAAAGAUUCUACAAUUUACACUAAAGUGGGAUUAUAUAGACUAUGAACAAGAUAAAUUCUGAAGUAAAUAUUAAUAUUACAUAACUUUUAAAAGUUUCAUUGUCAAGAAUCAUUAUAAUUCGUAUAAAAUGAUUUUUAUGGGAUAUGGAUAUUAAUAUUAGUAUUGGUAUUAAGGAGGAGCGCUCUAAAGAGCGUCCAAAAUGCCACCUUUUCCAUAGAAGGAUCGUUUCGAAGACUUCCAAUCUUGCUCAUGUUAAAGCAGGGCACUCGGUAAGCAGAAAAUAUGGGGCCUUCUCUCUUUUCAUGCAAUCGGAUAUGGGUAAAGAUAAUUUCUAAAAUUUAGUUGACUGAAAAUUAAUGUUUCAUAAAGAGAAUUGUAGUUAUUUUUAUAUUAAGGAAAUAUCAGUAAAUAUGAAAGUCCAAAAUUGAAACAAACAAGGAACUGUCAUCAUGAAAAAUCGUUACAUUUCAACUGGGAUGAUUUGAAUCAAAGAUAAAUAAAGGUGUCUCGUAAAAUUAUAUUAAUUAAAAAUUGUUAUCUAAUGUAAUGAAAUUUAGUUAUUUUUAUAUUAUAAGAACAUACAAUGAAUGUUUAAAUCACCAUCCAAAGUAUUAGAAAUUAUGAUAGACACAACUACAGUCAAAUGAUGGUAAGAAAACGUACAUGUCUAUAAAUUUCAAGAUUCUAAAAUAUCGUUGAUGAUCACAUAAAGAACGUAUCACGGGAAUUUAUUUCAUAAAAUUAUUUAUUAAUUUAUUUCAUGAAAUUUUUAAAAUAUUAUCGUUGAUGGCAUAAAGAAUACAUCUCAGGGAGUUAUUUUGGAGAGUAACAAAUGCACUUUACAGAUAACAGGUAAUAUGUUUUAAUUAUUUCUGUAUUUUCUUAAGUCAUACAAAUUUUACAAAUUUUAAUUACCUAAUAUUUCUUUUUUAUUUUAAAAUUUUAUAUUUAUUUUUGUCGAUAAAAUUUUAAAAAUUAUUAUAUAUUUGCAGAUGGACAACAAAUCAUCAUCGAUAACUUAGUUAUGAAGAAUGCCGUUGACCAAUUAUAAAAGAAAUCCAUUGAAUCGUUCAAGACGAAAAAACUUUAAUACAAUAUGUAAAUUUUAAAAUUUAUUUUAUAUAGUUUUGAAUAUUUUACAAUUUAAACAAAGAAAUGUAAAUCUUAAAGUCACGCCAUCUAUGAAACGAAUUCGAAAUUGUUUAUAGAUUCCUUUUUAUUUCUUUAAGAAAAUAAAAUAAUUACAAGAAAUGAUAGAAAUCUGUAAACAAAUAAUUUUACUUAAAAAAUAAAUUUUUAAUUGAAAAUCACAUAUAAUAUUACAAAUGUCUAUUACGACAUGAAUUACUUUCCCUCUCAAAGUGUUAUAAUUAAGAAAAAGAUAAUAACGCGGGUAAUUUUUGAUUAUCUUUUAAUAUAUUUUCGAAUAACUAUAAUUAAGCAUUUUAAAUAAAUUCACAAGUAUUACAAUACUUUUUCCAUAUUUCAUAAUAUAUAAUUGCUUAAAUCGUGAUGAAAUUCACAUUAGGAAUAAAAUAUUUUGAUUUUCAUAUUAAUAAUGAAAAUGUGUGACGUCAUUGACAGUUGUGAGGUUUCGCAUGCUGUGCUAUGGUGCCUAUCUGAAUUUGUAACUGUUGUAGAUAAAAGCAUAGUUAAACGUCGAUAAGAAAACGUGCAAAAUGUCAAAGGAAGCACAAAUCAACAAAUUUUGAAAUUUCAAAAUAUCAUCGUUAAUUUCGUGAAGAGCACAUCGUGAGGAAUUAUUUCGGAGAGAAACAAAUACGUUUUACCAAUAACAGAUGAUUACAGUAUUCAACAAUUUAUGUAAAAAUAAAACAACAUGGAUAAUUGAACAAUGAGAUGUUUCAUCAUGAAGAAUCCUUUAAUUUAGUUAAGACAGUGUUUGUCAAUAGUGACUGAAGGUACCUCGUCAAAUUUCAUACCAUUAUAAGAAUUACAAUCAAAACCUCUAAAGAAAUCAUCGAUAGGAAUUUACAAGAAUAAAUAUCGAGAAUAAUAUCACUUGAAUAAUUGAUGACAAACAUCGGAUAAAGAGCAAAUCAUCAUUGAUGAUUUCCUUACGAAAAAUUUCUGGAACCAAUCAUCGGCAAAGAAGUCGCUGAUAAUUUGCAUCGCCAUUAUGAAUUGAUAUCAUCUAGAAGAGAAAAAGUUUUCCGAAGAAUACAAUACUUACAUAAACAUAUUUCAAUGUAACAAAUGGAAAACAAAUCAUCAUAGACAACCGGAUUAUAAACAAUACCAUCAAUCAGUUAUUGCAAAUUGAAAUUGACGAUUUCAUUCAAAAAAUUAUCAUUACGACUUUGCAGGGAUCAUCAUCAUUUAGACGGAAGAAAAUCACUUGAGAAGUAUAUCAUUUCAAUGGACAGAUUUAAAUAUAGCAAAUGAAAGAAACGACUAUUAUUCAUCGAGUCAUGGUCAACCCUGCUACCAAACAACUAAUGGUGAAAUAAUUAAUAGUUGGACAUGAGGAGAAAUCAUCAGCGAUAAGCUAAUUAUAGAGAAUAUCAUCAAUUGCAUGUAGGACCGUAGAUGGUUUGUUUAGUUACAUAUAAUAAUACCUUCAAAUAUAAUAGACACAAAGAAGAUCCAACUAUAAUUUAAGGACAACAAUCAAUAACGUACGUUUGUGAAAAACAACAUCUUCAUCAAUAAUUGGAAUGAUACAAUUAAUAACAAUAAAGAAGAUUAGGAAAGCUACACAUUUAAUGAAAUUCAUGUACUUUUCAACAUAUUUCUUUAAUUAAAUCGAUACGAUUAUUGAAUUAUAUUCAUUAAAAAUUUUUAAACAAAAACUUACUUUUAUUAUAAAUUUAAGAUUCCUAUUGCUUAUCAUUUACUUUAUAUUUAUCAUAAUAAAGAAAUAAACAAUUAGGACAAUUACAAAAUUUUAUAGUUUUGUAUAUAAUUAACAAAGUUGUAUUAUAUUUUCUUAAAUUAUUAUAAAUCUGGAUAUAAAUUUAUUAAACUUAUAUUGAAC
Cylas formicarius (sweet potato weevil) is the source of this 3197-nucleotide long non-coding RNA. RefSeq lists it as uncharacterized. The transcript is spliced from 9 exons. Lineage: Eukaryota; Metazoa; Arthropoda; Insecta; Coleoptera; Brentidae. The record is from RefSeq and is a predicted model, not a curated record.